This 305-nucleotide ribosomal RNA is filed under the name uncultured bacterium. RNAcentral's name for it is "partial 16S ribosomal RNA". It matches the Rfam family "Bacterial small subunit ribosomal RNA", at positions 505 to 807 of the family's 1533-position model. The record is from RNAcentral.
ACAGCAGCAGCCGCGGUAAUACGGAGGGUGCAAGCGUUAUCCGGAUUCACUGGGUUUAAAGGGUGCGUAGGCGGAUUAGAAAGUCCGUUGUGAAAUCUCCGAGCUUAACUCGGAAAUUGCGGUGGAUACUAUUAGUCUUGAAUACUGUGGAGGUUAGCGGAAUAUGUCAUGUAGCGGUGAAAUGCAUAGAUAUGACCUAGAACACCAAUUGCGAAGGCAGCUGGCUACACAGAUAUUGACGCUGAGGCACGAAAGCGUGGGGAUCAAACAGGAUUAGAUACCCCAGUAGUCCCUGUCUCUUAUAC